Molecule: long non-coding RNA, 665 nt
Filed under: Phasianus colchicus (ring-necked pheasant)
Lineage: Eukaryota; Metazoa; Chordata; Aves; Galliformes; Phasianidae
Description: lncRNA (ENSPCLG00000022059.1)
Source: RNAcentral
UGGAGUCACAAUAGAAUACUUUUAUCUUUUGUCUCUAAAUGUGCAAGGACCUUUUUCUCAGGUUCCACGUGCCUUGUUCUUAAGGAGUGACUCACUAUGGCCUAAAAAGCAAUGGAAAUCUUCCCAACUGGGGAAAAGUGUGUGGAAGUGGAUCAAAGGCCCAGGUGAGCCUCUGUGACUGAAAUCUUCUGCAAUGAGGGACUGGAGGAGACCUCCGUUCAAGGCACACAGCAAGUGAUUCUCAGGGAGUUUCCCCUUAUCCCGGCUCCAUUGGGACCAGCCACAACUUCCUUGGAGUAUGGAUCAUGAAGUACCAAGUGGUGGAACAUGAGGGCAUGCAAACGUUUGUGGAUGGUAGCAGUUUGGUGUGAGAUUGCUUAAAAGGCCAGGUAAAGCUACAUGCUGAAGAAAAAAUUAGUCCUCAUGAAGUUGUGUAUGGAAGACCACUUCAGGUUCAUGGCACAGGUGGUACUAACACCUCUGGAAGUCACAAUACAUCUGUCCAAACUGAUGAGUGGAUGUAUCUAUGGACUCGGAGCUCUGAAGCACUACAGGAGAAGUGGAAAGGACUGUAUCAAAUACUACUGACAACAGAAGCUGCUACCAAGGUGUUAGGAGUAGACUCUUGAAUUCAUUACACAAGAAUAAAAAGCACCUAGCCCACA